GGAGGAAAGAAACUAACUAGGAUUCCCUCAGUAGCUGCGAGCGAACAGGGAGGAGCCCAGCACCGAAUCCCGCGGCCGAGACCGGACGCAGGGAAAUGUGGUGUUAGGGAGAGGCAACAUGUCUCGCGAUCCGGCGGCGCGUCCAAGUCCUUCUUGAACGGGGCCACAGCCCAUAGAGGGUGCCAGGCCCGUAGUGACCGUUGCUGAUCGCGAGGUGACCUCUCCUAAGAGUCGGGUUGCUUGAGAGUGCAGCCCUAAGUGGGUGGUAAACUCCAUCUAAGGCUAAAUAUGACCACGAGACCGAUAGCGAACAAGUACCGUGAGGGAAAGUUGAAAAAGAACUUUGAAGAGAGAGUUCAAUAGUACGUGAAACCGUUCAGGGGUAAACCUGAGAAACCCGAAAGGUCGAAAGGGAAGAUUCAUUCGCGUUUCGUCGGCUAAGCCGGGCGCUUGCGUGACGAAUGGGCCACGUGUCGUUCGCACCUUGCGUUCGCGCUAGAUGUCGGCGAACGCGUGCACUUCUUCCCCGGUAGGACGUCGCGAUCCGUUGGGUGUCGGUCUAAGGCCCGUGGUGGAGCCCGUUCGACGGCUUGCCGUUUCGGAUGGACCCGCGGUGUCCCGGCCGGCCCGCUCGACGGUAUACAGAUGGCGCGGGGCCGCGAUUCAGUUCGCGUCCGGCCCGUAGCAAGCGCUCCGUGCGCGUCGGCGAUCGGACCUAGUGCCGGUUCCGGCCCACGAAGGCUGUUGGCUGCGGUGUUCUCGGACAGACCUCGUUUGAAACGCCGAUCUGCGACGCUAUAGCUUUGGGGUACUUUCAGGACCCGUCUUGAAACACGGACCAAGGAGUCUAGCAUGUGCGCGAGUCAUUGGGAAUCACUAAACCUAAAGGCGCAAUGAAAGUGAAGGCCCGCCUAGCGCGGGCCGAGGGAAGAUGGGCGGUUACGGUUUCCGUGCCGCUCCGCACUCCCGGGGCGUCUCAUUCUCAUUGCGAGAAGAGGCGCACCAAGAGCGUACACGCUGGGACCCGAAAGAUGGUGAACUAUGCCUGGUCAGGACGAAGUCAGGGGAAACCCUGAUGGAGGUCCGUAGCGAUUCUGACGUGCAAAUCGAUCGUCGGAACUGGGUAUAGGGGCGAAAGACUAAUCGAACCAUCUAGUAGC
RNAcentral lists this ribosomal RNA (1160 nucleotides) under Stigmatium sp. 5 NLG-2013. Its description in RNAcentral is "eukaryotic LSU rRNA". It matches the Rfam family "Eukaryotic large subunit ribosomal RNA", at positions 52 to 951 of the family's 3401-position model. The record is from RNAcentral. Lineage: Eukaryota; Metazoa; Arthropoda; Insecta; Coleoptera; Cleridae.